This is a long non-coding RNA of Macaca fascicularis (crab-eating macaque), 2123 nucleotides long. The record is from Ensembl. Lineage: Eukaryota; Metazoa; Chordata; Mammalia; Primates; Cercopithecidae.
AGUGGAACGGCCGGGAGCCGGGGCUGGGGGGCUGGGGAGGACGGCGAGGACCGCCAGGCUCAAACCACCGCCAGGACGCCCCAUGGAGAAGGUUCAAGCACCCGGCGGUCCUGCGGCUGCUUUGGCAGAAGCCAAGCAAUGACGCGGCUCCAGGUGACUCGCCCAGGUGACAGGCAGGUAACAGCUGGGAGGUGUUGGCACCGGGAGGCCCGGCUGCUCCGAAGCCAGCUCAGUGGGGGCAGGAGGUUCCUGCUUUUCGAGAGUGCAGUGGAUCUUCACUUACUCGUGGCCUUUGAAGUACAGGAUCAGAGAAGUCCAGUGAGAUGAUUCCCAUGUGGGGAGGACAAUCGCUUCGGCAUCGAGCAGCGGUCCCAGAAGCCCCCUUUCCUGGCCUCAGGGCACCAGGACGGGUGCAGGGCACACGGCCAGAGCCAGAGACGGGGUUUUGCCAUGUUGCCCAGGCUGGUCUGGAACUCCUGAGCUCCAGGGAUCUGCCUGCCUCAGCCUCGCAAAGUGCUAAGAUUUUAGCUUCCAGCGAUACCAUCCCCGGCUGGGUCCCUCCUCCCAUCGCUCCGUCCUUGCUUGCGCCGCUCAUCUCCUUCUCCGGCGACUCUGAGCCUCUGCCUCCCUCCCCUAGGAAUCUGUGAUGAUCUUGGCUCACCCAGAUCAUGCACGGUAAUUACCCACCUUCAAGGCCCUCCACUUCAUCACAUCUGCUAAUCCCCCUCGCCGCGUGUGGUCUCCCUCGCCGCACGUGGUAACAUAGUCAGGUUUCUGGGAUCAGGAUGUGGACACCUUCAGGGGAGCAUUAUUUGGCCCAGCACACAUGGCAGGUCCACGGAACUCCAGGGCUCCGCACCUGAUGCUCUGAAUGGGGAGUCAGGGAACCCCUCUCCUUGUUGUCACCACUAGAGGUUGCAAUUCAACACUGCCUUACUGUGAAAAUCUGUCAUUAAAGAGAAAGGAUCGAGGGUGUUUCCGGCAGGAAUUAUAUUUGGGGGUGCACAGCUCCCAUGGAUGAAGGACCAGCACAGUGCAGAGGAGAAUGUGGGUAAUGCUGAUGGAGGGAGGAAGACAAAAAGGCAGCCAGUACCUCCCAGGCCCCAGCAGAAGGAUGGACUUGGGCACAGGCCUUCAGAGGGGGCCAAGAGCCACAGAGCAGGCACUGGGUGCUCGCAAAGCCACAGGCCACCUUGAGGUGACUGGGGGAAGUUCCUGCCCAGUGGUGGGGUUGGGCUGGCCCCAGCAGGUCCAGCGGGCCAUCUUUGACACGGGUGACCAGGACCCGAGACCACACGCAGACACCAAGGGCACCUGCAACAUUUUCCAUCCUCGAUCAAGUAAGCUCUUCCAGCAGGCCUGCAGACCCAACUUCCACUUUGCAAAAGAUACUGGAGGCAGAACAAGCUGAACCACCCACAGAGAGGCCACUGGACACAUGCAGAUGGUGGAACCUUCUGCAGGACGCGAGGCCUGGUGUAUGUGCUACCUCUGUUGCGUAACGAACCACCACCAGCCUGGAAGCUUACAGCAGCACCCACUUACCACUUCUCAGUUCUGUAGGGUAGACGUCCGCGCACAGCUGAGCUUGGUUUUCUGCUGAGGGUCCCGUGAGGCUGAGAUCCAGGCAUCCGCAGGGCUGGGCCCGCGUCUGGAGCUCAGCGGGAAUCUGUUCCCAGGCUCAUUCCUGCCAUCUGCGGAAUCCCCUCCUGCACUUGUGGGACAGAGGACCCCCUUUCUUGCUGGCCGCCAGCAGAAGCUUGUUCUCAGUUCCCGAGGGCUGCCUCCUUCCUUGGCGUAUGACCUCAUCUCUAAAGCAAGCAAGGAUGUGUUCAGUUCCCUGCUGCCUCCAGUCACUUCACUCUUCCACUACCAGCCAGAGGAAAUGCUGCUUUCAGAGGGCACGUGUGAGUAGACGCAGCCUACUCGGAAAAUCGCCCUUUGAUUAAUUCAAAUUCGACUGAUCAGCAAACUUAAUUGUAUCUCCUGUGUAUACCUGUCUCCCCAUUCCUCCUUUGUGUAAGGAGGGGUCUUAGUCCUGUUGAAUUAGGACCCGACGGAAUGACCUCAUUUCACCUUAAUUGCCUCUAAAGAACCAAUUUCCAAAUACAGUCAUAUUCUAA